UUGCAUGCGAAUGACCAUGCACUAGUACAGCCAGGGCCUUGGCAAAACAAAUGUCUUUCCUUGUGUUCUUUCAAUAUGUAGCUGGCUGCCUUGCUUGUUUACUUGUCCUGAGAACUAGAUCAUUUUCUCAGAGUUACGGUGCUAGAAUAUCACUUCUGUAACCUUUGUACUAUGGUAAGCUAAUUUCUUCAAGGUGAGUAAGACAUUUCAAAUGGGCUUGUGGCUGAAAAGCACUUAAAAACCUGGGGCAGGGGCAGCCCAUGCAAGGCCUGUGCGACACGUCACCUUUCCCGUGUGUGUGGUCUUCAGAGCAAACGUGAACAAUUGUGUAUUGUUUUGCUGUAGAGAUUCUGAGUAUUCAGUCCUUCGGAAGAACUAUUUUAACAAGGGUUUGGCAACAUAGAAACAUGAGGAGCACUCUGGCUCCCUAGCAAGAGGGAGGAGUACUUCAGUGGUGCUGAAUUCUCAUCUUCAGAGGGGUCGUUCUGCAGCCCUCUGCUGCAGAAGCUGGGAGCUUUGGCUCUUACCCCUAGCUUGAGGUGGCCACCCUUGCUGGAGGGUGUUCUGCAGGGACCCUGCUUUUUUCCUACCACUUCAAGUAAUUGUACUAUACAAAGCUAACCUAGUACAGUGGUGAGUAACCAGGGACCAGAUACAGCUUGUUUAGAUUUGAGAUAAAACCUACUGUUUAAUUUCACGAACUUCCUUGGUGAGAGCCGAACUCAGCUGUGUCCCUCGUCCUGGUCACUGCAUGGUCCUGUGCUCAUUACCUGGGGGUGGGGCAGGGCAGGGCGGAAUAAGGCUACUAUACGGACUUUAGGAGUGUAGCCUGCGGGAGGCAGUGAGGGGCCCAGCCUAGCACUGACUGAGGAGGGGGUCAUUUUAAAAAUCAGACUCUCUGCACUAUGGCUUCUGCCAAGAAGAGAAAAGGAACUGAUGAAAAUCAUGUGUUUCAAAGUAAGUAGACUGAGCAGUCUUAUUGUUUGUGCUGUGAUACUGUCAUUUGUCUGAUUAGCGAUAGAAAACAAUCUUAUUUUAAAGAGCAUAGUAGCUUGUAAUUUCGGUCAGGAAAAGACAAAUACACAGCCUCAGAAAACUCCUCUUCAGGGUAAAGCAAGUUGGUUCAGUGACUGGCGUUGUGGUGAGUCCCUGUAGGCUGUGUUCAUUAAAGAGUGUUGACAUUUUUUUAGCCCCCAAAAAAGGAAAGAAAAAAGAAGAAAGCUUCUAGUCACAGUAAAGCAGUACAAGAAUGUCCAGGUACAACUGCAGAUGUUGCAUUUCCCAACGAAAAGGAUGAUUUAUUAUGAAAAAAGAAAUUCACUCACAGUUUACUUUGAGUGAAUUCCCUGAAUUGACCUUAAGACCAAAAAAUAAAAAGACUGUUGUCCACGAGCACGUCUUAGGCCCACAGGUGCUCACAGCACCUUCCACACUGGGGUCCUCCUUGCCAGAUGGCCAUUCAUUCAUUCACUUCUUCCUCCAGGAAACUUUGGUUCAGUCCCUCUUGUGUGUUUACACCCAUUGCCGUAUCGAACCCUGACAACACCAUGAAGCAGAUACUAUUCUUGUCAUCCCUAUGUUGUAGAUGACGAAAUAAAACUGAGUCUCUAGCCUGUCCAGAGGUCAGAACCAGAUAAACAUGUAAGUGCCUGGCCCUUAGCCAUUUCUCCACGCUGGCUUCUUACAAGUCACUGGGAGGAGACAGAGCGCAUGCAGAGAACCACAUAAACAUAUUCAUGUAGUGGAGAAAUGAUUCAGACUUACACAUUUAAAAAUGUAUAUGGAUAUCUGUAUCGUUAGCUAGAUAACUGGCUUUUAGAAUGAUAAUCAGUGAAACAUUGCAAGAUCACGGAAUCUCCUCUGAAUCAUUAAGAAAAGAUAAAAUACCACGAACAUCUUUAGUGUUAAUGUGUGUUCAGUAAUUCUUUGGAGUUUUAUUUAUUAAGCCUACCAGAUUCUAAAGGCAUAUAAAAUGUAAUAAGAUAUGAGACACAUAGUGAAAUAUCAGCACAAAGGGAGAAUGAUAGUUGAAUGGUGAGAAAUGAAAAAGCAUUACAGCCUAGAGAUUCUGUUUUUAGAUGUGAGAUCUAAAUUAAAACCUGGCUUUCAUAGUCCUAAAGCAAAUGAGGACAUGAUACAGAUUACAAAAUUUACCUGAUUCCAUAGGUAAAUCCACAUUGAUGCUCCUUCCAGACUAUUCUCAGAGAAUUAUCCAGCGAUUCUGACUUUAUUCCUCACUUCCCAUUCACUCUUUUCCCCGUCUUGUGCUUUUUUCUUUUCUUUUUUUUUUUUUUUUUAAUUCAUGAAAAUAAUACAUCUAUAUGGGGGUUUUUAAAUAUCAAAAGGUAUUCCGUAAGGGAACAAUGUCUUUAGUUCCACUUUCUACACUUUUUGAUUCACUCUCUUCUUCUGGUAGCUACUUUUGUAUAUCUAAAUAAUAUGCUUUGCUGCUUUUUCUCGAUAUAUCAAGUUUCGGUGUGACCUGUUUAUAUUUGAUAUGAGCAUUGAGCUUCUGUACACCACCUCCUCCCCUCCCUACCUAAUGCUUCCACUGGAGUUAGGACUGCACAUCCUGUUCCCUGUUGCCCAGGCUGGGGAUGAGACUUAGCAUCUUCUAAAGUGUUUGCUAUUUGAGGGUGUGUGUGUGUGUGUGUGUGUGUGUGUGUGUGUGUACACAUUACAGUGUGCUUGGUCAAACCUUUUGCCCAUUGGGAUAUUUUUCUUUACUAUUUGUUUGUUAACACAUCUUUAUAUAUUCUAGAUUGAAGUUCUUUGUCAGCUGUAUGUGUUGCUAAUAUUUUCUCUUUCCUGUUCUGUGAUUAUCUUCUCAUUUUCUUCAUAGUUUCUUUUGAAUAACUGAAGUUCUUAACAAUUAUUCAAACUUAUCACUUUUCCUUUAUGGUUAGGGUUUUUUGCACAUGUAUCUUGUUUUAAGAAGUACUUCUUUACCCUGAGGUUAUGAUGUCCCCACGGGACAUCUGCAGAUAAUAUGUUAUCUUUUGAAUGCUUUAUAGUUUUACCUUUUAUAUAAAAGUCUGUUAUUCAUUUAGAGUCAGCUUUUGUGUAUGGAAUGUGUUAGGGUCUAUUUCUAUUUUCUCCACAUUUCAGGUAAUUGUCCUGGCCCUAGUUACUGAAAAGAACAUUGUUCACUAUAGUGCCCCCUUUAUCAGAAAUAUUCGUAUAAGUUUGGGUCUUUUUGUGGACUCUGCUUUCUUUUCCAUUCAUCUUUUUUGUCUAUCUCUGCACCAAUAUGAUGGUCUUAAUUACUGUAGCUUUCCAGCAUGCCUUGAUAAAGGAUAAGUCAGCUCUUCCAGUUUGCCUCUUCUUUUUUAACAGGUUAGGACUAUUUUUGGCCAUUUUAAUUUUUCCAUAAAAGUUUUAGAAUCAGCUUAUUAAAUUCACAUUUGGUCAUGCGCACACGCACAUACAUAUAUAUACCUGUACACAUACAAAUACCUCAUACACCACUAACAAAAACAAUUUAAAACUCUCACAUACUGAGUUAUUCACUGACAUUGCAUUGACUAAAAUGAAUUUGAUGAGAGUUGACGUACAGUACUGAGUUUCCAACCCAUGAACGUGUUGCAUCUGUCCACUUGUUUAGGGUUAUUAAUUUGCAGUUUUACUCUGUAUACUUCCUGAGCUCCAUUGCGUGGAUUUUGGCAUGUAUUAUUUUGUUACCAUUCAUUUCAAUAUGCUUUUCAAUUUUUAGUAUAACAACUUUUUUGACCUGUGGAUUAUUAGAAAUCCAUUUCUAAACAAUUCAGAAUUGUUUAGUUAUCUUUUGGAGCUUGAUUUCUAGUAUAAAUGCAUUGUGAUCAAAUAGCACCUACUUGGUAGCCUCUGUUUUAUGAAAUGUGUUGAGACUUGAUUUAUGACCUGGUAAUAUGGUCGUUUUUGCAAAUGUUCUAUGUGAGCGUGAAAAGCAUGUCUGUUUUCCAGUACUGGGGUAUAGUAAUUUAUAUACAUACAUUAGGUCAAGUUUGUAAAUGGUGGUGUUUAAAACUUUUACGUUUUUACUUAUAUUUUUGUCUACUUUGAUUUAUCAGUUAGAGAGAGAUGUUUUAAAAUAGCCUGUGAUUGUGGAUUCAUCUAAUUUUCUUUUCAUUAUAUAAAUUUUCCCUUUAUAUGUUUUGAGGCAAGGUUUUUAGGGAAAGGUGUACACUGGGUCCUGAGAAAUAGUCCUGUUAUCAUUAUGAAGUGACUCUCCUUAUCUCUAAAAGUUAUUUUCUGCCUCAUAUUAAUAUAGCUGUCCUGGCUUGCUUUGGAUUGGUAUUUACAUGGGAUAAUUUUAUCAGUUCUUUUAUUCUCAAGCUUUCCGUCUGAUGUGUUUCUUGUAUAAAGUACAUACAGUCAGAUGCCACAUAGUCAUGUUUUGGUCAAUACAGACCCGUAUUCAACCUUGGUCUCAUAAGGCUGUAAUAGUGUAUUUUUACUGUACCUUUUCUAUGUUUAGAUCCACAAAUGCUUAUCAUUGCAUUACAGUUGCCUACAGAGUAUUAAGUACAGUUACAUGCUGUUUAAAUGAUCUUUUAAAACCAAAAUCAGAGGAAUGAUCCUCUCUGACUCUCCCAUUUCCCACCCCGCCUUGCAUAAGCUCGCCCCUGUUCACAGAGCCUCCUGGACUGCCCAUCAUCCUCAAACUAGGCCUAGUCUGUCACAUUCUGAAAGAUCCCCUUCAUCUGUAUCCACUGUCAUUCUCCCCUUCCUCAGCAUUCCCCAGGCACACCGACAAUUCUAAGUUCCCGCGUGAAGGCAGCCGUCCGAGCGCAUCUCCGCCUGUGCUCCUCCCGGGCUUGGUCAUCCUUGUGCUUCACACCCAACAUCCUGUGUCUCUUCUCUCAUGUCCCAGCCCACACAGGGGCUCCCGCCAGUCCCUGCCAAAACUUGCUCUGUUCCUUCAGCUCGUCACAGGUUAUUGUUAAAUAUGUGUGCAUUUAUGUCUGGAUUACCUGCUGGAUUAGGUAAUUUUUAAGGACAGGGAUCAGUUUUUCUCUGUUUUUCCUCGGUAUGAAUAUACCAUUGUCUUGCAUGUAGUAGGUAACCAAAAAACAUUUCUUAGAUACCAGAAUGGGAAAAGGAAAGAACAAAUAAAUGAGCAAACAGCAGCUUGGUGAAAUAUGUGCGUGUGUGUGUGUGCGCGUGCGCGCGCGUGCGCAUGUGUAGUUAUUUAUUUAUUUAUUUAUUUGGCUGGGAGAAGGUGGUUCUAAGCCCAGGAGAAAUUUCUCCUAUGGGUUCUUUGACUCUGGUAAAUUAAGUAUUCUUGGUUUGUCAGUCAUAUUAUUUAAAAUUUGGUUUAACCCAUUUUUUCUAGUAAUUAACACCAAGCUUUCAUUGUACUUUUAGUAUUUUGUGUUAAAAAGUGAUAAGGUAUUUCGGGCAUGCUAAAACUAGGAAUCAGUGUUGAUGUCGAAUAUCCACUAAUAACAGUAUCCCUCUUCUCUGAGCACUCUGAAUAACGUCCUCCUUGGAAUAAGGGUGAGGCCUGGGAUGCCUUUGGAUAGAAGUCCACCCGUGCCCCACGGGACAUCUGCAGUCAGGACUGUGUAGAAGAUUCCUCUUUGUCGGCCACCCUGGGAGUUAGGAAAUCCAGGCUGGCCUAUCCGAGCAGACUGGAACCAAAACUGCCCCAAGGUAGGGAAUGGGGCUAGAAGGGUUCCUUUUCCAUUUCUUGGAGGUAGCUUUUAGAGACUACUGGGGAUUUCCAAAUCCAGGGAGAAGGCACCAGCUCCAAGGGGAAGCUUAACCCUGAAGGGCCGCCCUGGCUGCUGCUGCCUCAGGGACAUGAGCCCAGCUAGUGCCCAGCUGUUCACUCACCCAGCUCACUUUUGGGUCACCCACAGUAAUGACACAGUAGCCAAUGCCAUCGGAAAAUUCCAGCUCUGCUACCACAGAGACAAUUUCUUAUUUGUCAGUUUAUUGUGGGAUUUUUUUGUUGUUGUUGUUUCCAAAUAGAAACAGCUGAACUUUAUUUGAAGUGUUUUUCUUUCAUUCUUUUUUGAUCUGUGUUUUGAUCUGUUGUCCUUGAUGUGGGUUUUUUUGUUUUUUUUUUUUUUUUUAUUUUUUUUUUUUUGGGGGGAGGGGGCGGGGACAGGGUUAGAAUGAGAAUCCAGACUGGGUCACUCUGGGGUUUUUUUUUUUUUUCCUCUUCAUUUCUUUUUUAAAUUGAAACACCUAAUUUGUAAGAAAAUAGAAUUUACUUCCAUACAGAAAUGUAAGUUUAUAGGAAUAAUCACUGAACAGUAGUUUUCCCAGUAAUUCUAUGCUGAGGAAAAAUGGCACAGUGGCAAGGGCAUCAGCCCUUUGGCCAGGCAGACCCACACCCAAGUUCUGCCACUCCUUAAUUUCCGAGCAUUGCACCCAAUCUCUGUGUUUUAGCUUUGUCUGUAAAAUGGGACCUACCCCGACAGGGUUAUAGUGAGUGUAAAAUGUUGUCAUGCUUAUAAAGUGCUCAGAAACAGUUUCUCAACAGUCAAGUAUUUUUGUACAAAUAUCCUGUGUAGCUGUUCAUUCCUGUAGAAAGGUAAAUUUUCAUCUGUGAUUGCACUGUGGAUCAGUGGUGAAACUCAAAUAAUAAUAUCACCAAACAGAGUAGAGUCCAGAAACAGAUUCACACACACCCAACAAAAGCCUCACUGAAGUUCACUGAGAAAAGGAUAGCUUUCCCAUAAAUGGUGCUGGACCAGUUUAAUGUCCAUAAUGGAGAAAAAUGACCUGGGACUCCUAACUCACACCAUUCAGAAAUGUUGAUUCAAGAAGAAUUAUAGACCUCAGUGUGAAUGGUAAAAGAGUUUCUAGAAGAAUCACAGGAGACUUUGGUUAUUAUCUUGGAUUGGGCAGAGGUUUCUUAAGGCACAUAAAGUCUACCUAAAAAGCAGUAACUGUAAGAGAAAAGACUUUGAAAUUAUGUUUGCAUUACAUACAUCUGACAAAGGAUAAGGACUUUUACAGAAUAACAGGAAAAGAACCAAUUCAGUUUUAAAAAUGGACAAAAGACUUUCUUGCCAUUCCACAAGAGAAGAAAUGCAGAUGGUCAGUAAGCAUAUGGAAUGAGUUCAGCAUCAUUAGUCAUCAGGGAAGUGCAGAUUUAAUCCACAACAAGUAACCACUAGGCCCCACCAGAAUGGCUAAUAAAAGCCUCAACGGUACUCAAUGAUGGCAAGGAUGUGGAACAGCCUGAACUUUAAUACACAAUGGUGGGAUGUAAAUAGGAAGAAUUGCUUUGUAAAGCUUUUUAGUUGGGAGUGUCUGCUAACAUUAAACAUAUACCUGUCCUAUGAACCAGCAGCUCCACCCUAGUAUAUACCCCAAGAGAAAUGAAUAUACUUGUUUAUUAGAACAAGAGUCCCCAUCUCCCCAGCCACAGAUCUGUACUGGGCAGCACAGCAGGAGGUAAGUAAGCAUCACCACCUGAGCUCUGUCUCCUAUCAGAUCAGCAAGAGAUGAGCGAGCAUCACCACCUGAGCUCCGUCUAACAUCAAAUCAGCACGAGGUGAGCGAGCAUCACCACCUGAGCUCCGUCUCCUAUCAGAUCAGCACGAGGUGAGCGAGCAUCACCACCUGAGCUCCGUCUCCUAUCAGAUCAGCAAGAGAUGAGUGAGCAUCACCACCUGAGCUCCGUCUAACAUCAAAUCAGCACGAGGUGAGCAAGCAUCACCACUUGCGCUCUGUCUCCCGUCAGAUCAGUGACAGCAUUAGAUUCUCAUAGGAGGGUCAACCCUAUUGUGAACUUGCACAUGUGAGGGGUCUAGGUUGCAUGCUCCUUAUAAUGCAUGAUGAUUUGAGGUGGAAUACUUUCAUCUGAAACCACACAGACCCGCAACCCAUCAAAGAAAAAUUGUCUUCCAUGAAACCAGUCCCUGAUGCCAAAAAGACUGGGGACUGCUGCAUUAGGAGACAUGCGGGAGUGCUUAUUCUUCAGAGCCCCAAAGUGGAAGUAACCCAGAUGUGCAGUGGUGGCAUAGGGAAUUUAAUUGUUGUGUGUUCAUGUCAUGGAAUACCAUACAGCAGUAAAGAGGAGUGAUACAAGCCUUAUACUGAGUGAAAGAAGCCAGAUUCAAAAAGACCAUGUACUACUGUACAAUUCAUCUACGUGAAGUUCAGGAACAGGAUUCAUCUAUGGUAAUGGAAGUCAGAAUAAUAGUUAUAUGUGAUAGAACCGUAGGGAUUGGCAGGGAAGGAGGGUGCUGGACAUGUUUGAAGUCUUCCUCUGCGAGUCACGUGGAAGUACGCAUAUGAAAGAACUUACUUGAGGUGAGCAGUGCAGGUAGGACAUUCUACUGCACUCGUAUUAAAAUUGUUUAAGUCAUUUAUUGGAUGCUUUCUGUAUGCCAAAUCCUGGGCUACAUUUUCAGAAUAGUU
Sapajus apella (tufted capuchin) is the source of this 8361-nucleotide long non-coding RNA. RefSeq lists it as uncharacterized. NCBI's taxonomy places the organism in Eukaryota, Metazoa, Chordata, Mammalia, Primates, Cebidae. The transcript has 2 exons. The record is from RefSeq and is a predicted model, not a curated record.